Molecule: ribosomal RNA, 406 nt
Filed under: uncultured bacterium
Lineage: Bacteria
Description: partial 16S ribosomal RNA
Rfam family: Bacterial small subunit ribosomal RNA
Source: RNAcentral
AUUGAACGCUGGCGGCAGGCCUAACACAUGCAAGUCGAACGAGUGGCGGACGGGUGAGUAAUGUCUGGGAAACUGGCCGAUGGAGGGGGAUAACUACGGGAAACGGUAGCAAAUACCGCAUACCAUCGGAUGUGCCCAAAUGGGAUUAGCUAGUUGGUGGGGUAACGGCUCACCAAGGCGACGAUCCCUAGCUGGUCUGAGAGGAUGACCAGCCACACUGGAACUGAGACACGGUCCAGACUCCUACGGGAGGCAGCAGUGGGGAAUAUUGCGCAAUGGGGGCAAGCCUGAUACAGCCAUGCCGCGUGAAUGAAGAAGGCCUUCGGGUUGUAAAGUACUUUCAGCGGGGAGGCGUUACCCGCAGAAGAAGCACCGGCUAACUCCGUGCCAGCAGCCGCGGUAAUUC